Oryctes borbonicus is the source of this 57-nucleotide transfer RNA. It matches the Rfam family "tRNA", at positions 8 to 63 of the family's 71-position model. Rfam says of the family: Transfer RNA (tRNA) molecules are approximately 80 nucleotides in length. The record is from Rfam. NCBI's taxonomy places the organism in Eukaryota, Metazoa, Arthropoda, Insecta, Coleoptera, Scarabaeidae.
UAGUGUAGUUGGUACCGCGCCCGUCCGUCAAAUGGGUGUCGUAGGUUCGAAUCCUAC